GACGAACGCUGGCGGCGUGCCUAAUACAUGCAAGUGGGACGCAAGGAAACACACUGUGCUUGCACACCGUGUUUUCUUGAGUCGCGAACGGGUGAGUAACGCGUAGGUAACCUGCCUAUUAGCGGGGGAUAACUAUUGGAAACGAUAGCUAAUACCGCAUAAUAUUAAUUAUUGCAUGAUAAUUGAUUGAAAGAUGCAAGCGCAUCACUAGUAGAUGGACCUGCGUUGUAUUAGCUAGUUGGUAAGGUAAGAGCUUACCAAGGCGACGUUACAUAGCCGACCUGAGAGGGUGAUCGGCCACACUGGGACGGAGACACGGCCCAGCCUCCUACGGGAGGCAGCAGUAGGGAAUCUUCGGCAAUGGACGAAAGUCUGACCGAGCAACGCCGCGUGAGUGAAGAAGGUUUUCGGAUCGUAAAGCUCUGUUGUAAGUCAAGAACGUGUGUGAGAGUGGAAAGUUCACACAGUGACGGUAGCUUACCAGAAAGGGACGGCUAACUACGUG
Molecule: ribosomal RNA, 505 nt
Filed under: uncultured bacterium
Lineage: Bacteria
Description: partial 16S ribosomal RNA
Rfam family: Bacterial small subunit ribosomal RNA
Source: RNAcentral